Molecule: long non-coding RNA, 944 nt
Organism: Mus musculus (house mouse)
Lineage: Eukaryota; Metazoa; Chordata; Mammalia; Rodentia; Muridae
Product: predicted gene, 32621
Exons: 3
Source: RefSeq, a predicted model, not a curated record
UUUCAUUUGCAGAUCCAAAAAUAGCUCCUGGGGGAGUGUGCAUGUGAGAUCUGCUGGGAGCCUCAAGAGGAGAAACAAAACCUCCUGCUACACUUCAGUUCUCUUUACCAAAAUCAGUCCAGGUUCUCAUGAUGCCUUUGGACACCCAUGGCCUGAAUUGGGUCCAACCUAAUGAAUUAUUGGCUCUAGUAUAAACCUCAACCCCUCUCCAUCAAAAUCUUAAAGAUCUCAUAUCUAAGUGGAAUUUGACUUUCCCAGUUUCUCUGAGAGACUGUGAGCACAUUGGGGUUCAAACCAUACUUGGACAAAGAGGACAUUGUAUCUUCUGACACAGAAAGCUGCAAGAUGCUGUCUUCAAGGAAAUGCAGAUUACACACAGGAAUUUGCCUUAACCAGUGCAUAAGGAGAAAGAAAGUGACCCAGGAUCAAGGCUUCAUAGAGAGAAAACACACAAAGCUCGAAAGAGUCCUCCUUUAAAAUAGAACAGUACUGAGGAUGUAGCUCAACGGCAGACACUUACCAGCAUAAAAGAGGUCCUGGGACUGACCCUACCGCCUGCUGUACAUGAGUAAAUAAAUAAUCCAAGCAGAACAAGAACCACAGGUCCAAAUGUGAAUGUCUAUUUACUUGAGAAGAAAAUAGCACCACAAGCUUCAAAUCAGAACAACCAGGGGACAAACACCAGACUGCAGGGGUUGGUUGUUGUUGUUGUCGUUGUUGUUGUUGUUGUUCUUGUUGUUGAUUUGUUUGACUGAUCCUUUGUGGAACCUUAAAAGGACUCUAUAUAUAUCAACAUUGCUGGGUGCACAUUUUACUAGGACUCCUGGAAAGGUCACUGCUGAGUUCUCAGGAGCUUUCCUGAAAAUUAAAUGUGAUAACGAACAGGGAGCUCUCUUCUGCCUUUUAAGUUGUUUCUAGAUUUAAUUGGCUGUAGUCACAUGAUC